Molecule: ribosomal RNA, 465 nt
Filed under: Vreelandella stevensii
Lineage: Bacteria; Pseudomonadati; Pseudomonadota; Gammaproteobacteria; Oceanospirillales; Halomonadaceae
Description: partial 16S ribosomal RNA
Rfam family: Bacterial small subunit ribosomal RNA
Source: RNAcentral
CCUACGGGUGGCAGCAGUGGGGAAUAUUGGACAAUGGGGGCAACCCUGAUCCAGCCAUGCCGCGUGUGUGAAGAAGGCCCGCGGGUUGUAAAGCACUUUCAGUGAGGAAGAACGCCUGGUGGUUAAUACCCAUCAGGAAAGACAUCACUCACAGAAGAAGCACCGGCUAACUCCGUGCCAGCAGCCGCGGUAAUACGGAGGGUGCGAGCGUUAAUCGGAAUUACUGGGCGUAAAGCGCGCGUAGGUGGCUUGAUAAGCCGGUUGUGAAAGCCCCGGGCUCAACCUGGGAACGGCAUCCGGAACUGUCAAGCUAGAGUGCAGGAGAGGAAGGUAGAAUUCCCGGUGUAGCGGUGAAAUGCGUAGAGAUCGGGAGGAAUACCAGUGGCGAAGGCGGCCUUCUGGACUGACACUGACACUGAGGUGCGAAAGCGUGGGUAGCAAACAGGAUUAGAUACCCCUGUAGUC